GCCAGUGAUUUGCGGCUAUCAAGAACGAUGCUUACUGCGACAAAAGAUUAUCAGAGCGAUUUUCAGACUGAACUGAUGGGUAAUCCAUUUCGACGAAAGCUGAGAAGUGAUGCUAUAUCACCAAUAUUUUCCUUCACAAUAAAAUUAAAGAUCUUCGAUUAGAGGCCGUACAUAAUCUGAUUCCACCAGCACGUGCUUCCAACCCCUAGCUCUGCACAAGGUGAAGCAGAUGUACAGUACCAGGUCCAAACAGAGUUCCUACACCACUUCCACCACUUCCAGCAGAAUCCAGCUGGUCAUACGUUGCAGACAGGACAAGACCAUUCGCCACAAGCACAAGGAGUCUCAGCUUUCCCAGCCCACCAUGCCAAACACCCUUGCCAGUGUACAGAAGCCGGAUAAAGGAUAGUGUGGCUCAGCCUAAGACCAUGUAGAACCACCAUAAAAUAAAUAUGGUUCAUUUCUAUCAAUCUUCGAGAUUUGACUGCAUUAAUGGG
Salvelinus namaycush (lake trout) is the source of this 497-nucleotide long non-coding RNA. RefSeq lists it as uncharacterized. The record is from RefSeq and is a predicted model, not a curated record. The transcript has 3 exons. NCBI's taxonomy places the organism in Eukaryota, Metazoa, Chordata, Actinopteri, Salmoniformes, Salmonidae.